UUCAUCUUCACCAAAGUUGAGUUGAAAGAGAAAGAACCACACAUGGUAGCUUUCUGAAGCUCAAGGCCAGCCCCUUUUCAACACCAUUAAAUUCUUAAUCUUCAUCUUGAUUUGGAGAAAGAAUUAUGAAUAACCAUGACUGCCAAGCUCACGUCCAUGGCAGCCCUUAACCCACUUCAAGUGUUGCAAGAUAAAUUAAUUUCCUAAGGUGUUCUAGGCACUUAAAGGAGAAGCAAGGUUAGAGUUUAAGUUGAAGAAGAUGAAGUGGUGCAAAUGGUGCAAGUUAUUGUAGGGCUGUCCAAAUUAAAUUUGAGGCUUUGUCCGUUCGGAAGCACUUCAGAAGGAAAGAGCUUUGGCGUGAAAGUUCCUGACACCUGUUCGGCAUUGAGGUACUGAUAUACAGGACGACACAUCUGCUCAGUAGGACAACAUUCGUAUCAGCUUAUUGGUGAGCCCCAUCUCAUUCGGGGUUUAGUCAACUUUUGUUUUAUGAUUAGUUAUGCAUCUAAGGUAUGCUGGGGGCCUUGUCCCAGUAAGUAUGUUUUCCAAUCAGACUCCUGAUAGAGGUUUCAUAGACUAGACAAGUCAGUUAUGUUAUGUCAGACAUUCAGAGUCGUAUAGCUAUUUUGGCUCAUUCAUGUUAUUUCCGCACUCAUGUUUAAACAAGUAUUUUUAUUAAGUAUUAUGAC
Molecule: long non-coding RNA, 689 nt
Organism: Lycium barbarum (goji berry)
Lineage: Eukaryota; Viridiplantae; Streptophyta; Magnoliopsida; Solanales; Solanaceae
Exons: 3
Source: RefSeq, a predicted model, not a curated record